Molecule: ribosomal RNA, 825 nt
Filed under: uncultured Alphaproteobacteria bacterium
Lineage: Bacteria; Pseudomonadati; Pseudomonadota; Alphaproteobacteria
Description: bacterial SSU rRNA
Rfam family: Bacterial small subunit ribosomal RNA
Source: RNAcentral
AGUCGACGGAUCCUUCGGGAUUAGUGGCGGACGGGUGAGUAACGCGUGGGAACAUACCCUUUGGUACGGAAUAGCCUCGGGAAACUGGGAGUAAUACCGUAUGUGCCCUUCGGGGGAAAGAUUUAUCGCCAAAGGAUUGGCCCGCGUUGGAUUAGGUAGUUGGUGGGGUAAUGGCCUACCAAGCCGACGAUCCAUAGCUGGUUUGAGAGGAUGAUCAGCCACACUGGGACUGAGACACGGCCCAGACUCCUACGGGAGGCAGCAGUGGGGAAUAUUGGACAAUGGGCGCAAGCCUGAUCCAGCCAUGCCGCGUGUGUGAUGACGGCCUUAGGGUUGUAAAGCACUUUCAACGGUGAAGAUAAUGACGGUAACCGUAGAAGAAGCCCCGGCCAACUUCGUGCCAGCAGCCGCGGUAAUACGAAGGGGGCUAGCGUUGUUCGGAAUAACUGGGCGUAAAGCGCACGUAGGCGGAUUGUUAAGUUAGAGGUGAAAUCCCAGGGCUCAACCCUGGAACUGCCUUUGAUACUGGCAAUCUUGAGUUCGAGAGAGGUGAGUGGAAUUCCGAGUGUAGAGGUGAAAUUCGUAGAUAUUCGGAGGAACACCAGUGGCGAAGGCGGCUCACUGGCUCGAUACUGACGCUGAGGUGCGAAAGCGUGGGUAGCAAACAGGAUUAGAUACCCUGGUAGUCCACGCCGUANACGAUGGAAGCUAGCCGUCAGGUUGUUUACAACUUGGUGGCGCAGUUAACGCAUUAAGCUUCCCGCCCUGGGAGUACGGUCGNCAGAUUAAAACUCAAAGGAAUUUGACGGGGGCCCGCACAAGCGG